GUGCCAGCAGCCGCGGUAAUACGGAGGGUGCAAGCGUUGUUCGGAUUUACUGGGCGUAAAGGGCGCGUAGGCGGCCUUAUAAGUCAUAUGUGAAAGCCCACGGCUCAACCGUGGAAGUGCAUGUGAAACUGUGAGGCUUGAGUAUGGGAGAGGAAAGUGGAAUUCCCGGUGUAGAGGUGAAAUUCGUAGAUAUCGGGAGGAAUACCGGUGGCGAAGGCGACUUUCUGGACCAAUACUGACGCUGAGGCGCGAAAGCGUGGGUAGCAAACAGGAUUAGAUACCCGCGUAGUCC
Molecule: ribosomal RNA, 292 nt
Filed under: uncultured bacterium
Lineage: Bacteria
Description: partial 16S ribosomal RNA
Rfam family: Bacterial small subunit ribosomal RNA
Source: RNAcentral